UACGAAGGGGGCUAGCGCUGUUCGGAAUUACUGGGCGUAAAGGGCGCGUAGGCGGAUAGUUCAGUUGGGGGUGAAAGCCCGGGGCUCAACCUCGGAACUGCCUUCAAUACUGGCUAUCUUGAGUACGGGAGAGGUGUGUGGAACUCCGAGUGUAGAGGUGAAAUUCGUAGAUAUGCGGAAGAACACCAGUGGCGAAGGCGACACACUGG
Molecule: ribosomal RNA, 209 nt
Filed under: uncultured prokaryote
Description: partial 16S ribosomal RNA
Rfam family: Bacterial small subunit ribosomal RNA
Source: RNAcentral